Molecule: long non-coding RNA, 1145 nt
Organism: Hevea brasiliensis (rubber tree)
Lineage: Eukaryota; Viridiplantae; Streptophyta; Magnoliopsida; Malpighiales; Euphorbiaceae
Exons: 2
Source: RefSeq, a predicted model, not a curated record
AAAAUUAACCCCAUUUUCUACCACGUGGUUCGGAAAACAGAUGUUUCAAAGAAUCAGAAGUUUAUAAUUAAUUAAGAAGUUUCGUGUUUCACGUAAAAAGCUAAUGAAAUUGUAUAAACGUGAUAGAAAAUGAGGUAAGGCAAGCUCUUGAUUUUUGGCCUCUUUGGUUGCUUUACUUGAAACAAAUAAUUUACGAUUUAAGUGAGCUGUAGAUUCUUUUUCUUUUGAUUAGUUGAUGUGAAAUGUACCUAACACAAACACAAAUUAAAAUUAAGAAGGUGAUGUCAGAUGUCAAUGUUAAGGCUCAGCAUUCUCAUCAUGACUUAAUCAAGGUGUUUGAUCAGCCACAAAUAUAUAGAGGGAAAGGGAAGGAAGAAAGCACAGAAGGAACGAAGAAGCAGCAGAAAAGGGGCAGAUAUAUAGUUUGUAGAAUGAAAUAGAGCCUAAGUAUGCUUUCCUAGCAACAAAAGCAAAGCAAAUUCACGCAAUUGAAGAGUCUGAUGUCUUAAACAAGCGGCUAAUUGUAUGGGCUCGCGAUCCACGAAGAGCAGAGAUGGACACCUUACCAGCGUUUUCGAGUUUCAAUCACAAAACGGCUAAACCGUUAAAGCCUGCUAUCAUAGUCAGAAAAUAAAGCCCAAGCCAUUGGCCUCGCAACCUAUCAAUAAUUUGGAGCUAAGGAGUAUAGCUUAUAAAAUCUUCGUCACAUGCUGAUGCUACUCCAUCUUUACAACUAUUGGUGAAUUAUUGGUUACCUGGACCAUUUUGCUUGAAGUAAUGGAUUGCACCACGCAAGAGCCCACCAUGGGAACUUGGGAAGGAUAACGAAAGUGGCCUUUGCUCACAAUCCAUAUGUGGCCUUUGUUCACAAUCCAUAUAUGCUAGUAUACAAAUCCCUGCAAUAAUAACCUUAGCUAAAAAAGAACCAAAUUCAUCAAACUUACUGUUCAAUGGUGUUGCUUCAUCAUCUGUUUGCAGCAUAAAGUCAUGUAUGCUGCCUAUAUCAGUGUUGUACCAACUCCAACAACAUCAGCUCUUUCCAGCCAUCUCUUGUCCAUGGCAGGGUAAAUAAUGUUGAUAUUCAUGUGAAUCUACAUGGUUAGCUGUAUUUUUAUACAUUUUUAUAGAUAACAUAGAAUUUAAUA